GACGUAGGGGGCAAGCGUUACCCGGAAUUACUAGGCGUAAAGGGCAGGUAGGCGGAUCUACGAGUUUUUUGUUAAAGGCUACGGCUUAACUGUAGUAAGGCAGGAGAUACUGUAGGUCUGGAAUGCGGUAGGGGAAGACAGAAUUCCUGGUGUAGCGGUGGAAUGCGCAGAGAUCAGGAGGAAUACCGAAGGCGAAGGCAGUCUUCUAGGCCGUAAUUGACGCUUAACUGCGAAGGUGUGGGGAUCAAACAGGAUUAGAUACCCUGGUAGUCCACACAGUAAACGAUAAUCACUAGAUGUCGGAUUCUAGAUGGAUUCGGUGUCGGAGCUAACGCGAUAAGUGAUUCGCCUGGGGAGUACGAUCGCAAGGUUGAA
Molecule: ribosomal RNA, 375 nt
Filed under: uncultured bacterium
Lineage: Bacteria
Description: bacterial SSU rRNA
Rfam family: Bacterial small subunit ribosomal RNA
Source: RNAcentral